UGCAAGUCGAGCGAACAGACGAGGAGCUUGCUCCUCUGACGUUAGCGGCGGACGGGUGAGUAACACGUGGAUAACCUACCUAUAAGACUGGGAUAACUUCGGGAAACCGGAGCUAAUACCGGAUAAUAUAUUGAACCGCAUGGUUCAAUAGUGAAAGACGGUUUUGCUGUCACUUAUAGAUGGAUCCGCGCCGCAUUAGCUAGUUGGUAAGGUAACGGCUUACCAAGGCAACGAUGCGUAGCCGACCUGAGAGGGUGAUCGGCCACACUGGAACUGAGACACGGUCCAGACUCCUACGGGAGGCAGCAGUAGGGAAUCUUCCGCAAUGGGCGAAAGCCUGACGGAGCAACGCCGCGUGAGUGAUGAAGGUCUUCGGAUCGUAAAACUCUGUUAUUAGGGAAGAACAAAUGUGUAAGUAACUAUGCACGUCUUGACGGUACCUAAUCAGAAAGCCACGGCUAACUACGUGCCAGCAGCCGCGGUAAUACGUAGGUGGCAAGCGUUAUCCGGAAUUAUUGGGCGUAAAGCGCGCGUAGGCGGUUUUUUAAGUCUGAUGUGAAAGCCCACGGCUCAACCGUGGAGGGUCAUUGGAAACUGGAAAACUUGAGUGCAGAAGAGGAAAGUGGAAUUCCAUGUGUAGCGGUGAAAUGCGCAGAGAUAUGGAGGAACACCAGUGGCGAAGGCGACUUUCUGGUCUGUAACUGACGCUGAUGUGCGAAAGCGUGGGGAUCAAACAGGAUUAGAUACCCUGGUAGUCCACGCCGUAAACGAUGAGUGCUAAGUGUUAGGGGGUUUCCGCCCCUUAGUGCUGCAGCUAACGCAUUAAGCACUCCGCCUGGGGAGUACGACCGCAAGGUUGAAACUCAAAGGAAUUGACGGGGACCCGCACAAGCGGUGGGAGCAUGUGGUUUAAUUCGAAGCAACGCGAGAACCUUACCAAAUCUUGACAUCCUCUGACCCCUCUAGA
This 967-nucleotide ribosomal RNA is filed under the name Staphylococcus epidermidis. RNAcentral describes it as "bacterial SSU rRNA". It matches the Rfam family "Bacterial small subunit ribosomal RNA", at positions 56 to 1004 of the family's 1533-position model. Lineage: Bacteria; Bacillati; Bacillota; Bacilli; Caryophanales; Staphylococcaceae. The record is from RNAcentral.